GGCUUGUUGGUCUAGGGAUAUGAUUCUCGCUUAAGGUGCGAGAGCUCCUGGGUUCAAAUCCUGGAUGAACCC
Danio rerio (zebrafish) is the source of this 72-nucleotide non-coding RNA. Lineage: Eukaryota; Metazoa; Chordata; Actinopteri; Cypriniformes; Danionidae. The record is from Rfam.